This 220-nucleotide ribosomal RNA is filed under the name uncultured bacterium. Its description in RNAcentral is "partial 16S ribosomal RNA". It matches the Rfam family "Bacterial small subunit ribosomal RNA", at positions 57 to 305 of the family's 1533-position model. The record is from RNAcentral.
GCAAGUCGAACGAUCUCUUCGGAGAUAGUGGCAGACGGGUGAGUAACGCGUGGGAACCUACCUUAUUCUACGGAAUAACAGUUAGAAAUGACUGCUAAUACCGUAUACGCCCUUCGGGGGAAAGAUUUAUCGGAGUAGGAUGGGCCCGCGUUGGAUUAGCUAGUUGGUGGGGUAAUGGCCUACCAAGGCGACGAUCAGUAGCCGACCUGAGAGGGUGAUC